UACUACUAGAUGGACCUGCUUGGAUGUUACUC
Molecule: non-coding RNA, 32 nt
Filed under: Mus musculus (house mouse)
Lineage: Eukaryota; Metazoa; Chordata; Mammalia; Rodentia; Muridae
Source: RNAcentral